GUUCUGUGAUUGACACGGUUUAUAAAUCAAAGAAUCUUCCUGUUGAACCAGAGCUUUCGCAAUGUUUCAAUUCAUUAUUUACUGUCAAAGGCUUUGGAAUCCAGGGUAGUGCUAUCGUAACAAAAGAGGAACAUUUGUUUGCUUUUUGAAAUGAAAUAGAACAUAUAAUUAUAUCAUUUUAAUGACUUGCUUCCGAUUUUCAGAAAGGUCUUGGAAACAUUGUUAAUUGUUGAUACUUUUGAAAUAUUCAGCAACUUGCCGAUGAAAUUUUUAUAAAAUAUUGCCAUAAAAUAUAUAACAUUCUAAGACUAAGGCUAUAUAUAUAUUGAUACUAUUGAUACUAUAGUGCUGUUCCAACGUACAAUAAUGUGAAAAAAAGAAAAGAAAAAAAAAAGAUGAAAAAGUUUUUUCAUCAAGUGAGAAAAAUUUCCGGAGAAACUUUCCAAAAUUGUUGUCGCUCCAAUAUUGUUUAGGUCCAUUUUUUUAAGUAUUUUAUAAAGCGUAUGCUAUGUAUGUGCUAAGAAGCUAGUUUUGUUGGCAUGUGGAAAGCAAAAGUAGCGAAGGUAAAGAGAUUAAAAUUGGAUUUAGUGCGUAUUUUUGAAAAAAUUUUUACCACAAAAUAUGGUAGUCCCCCCCCCCCGUCGAUGACACUUGUGACGUCAGGUACAUACGGGACUUUGGGGGCGGGUUUUGGCGGGAAAAUCUGUAAUGUUUGGAGAAGACAAGAUGGCGCUGGUUAAUUCGUGUUAUAUCAAACGACAUUUUUGUUCACAAAUACCCGCUUAUUUUACGUUAUAGCGACUGGUUCGUUUUGGAAAUUAUAACUCAAUGGACGGGGAAAAUGAUUCUGUAUUAAAGAGAAAAUGAUGUGCAGUUAUUGUGAUGUUAUUUGUUGUGAAAGACGGCCCGAAAUUUCACUGGUUUAUAAAACAUUUACAAGCAACAGCAAUUGAACUAUAUGACAAAGAAACCAAUGUAUACAAGCCAAUCAAGUUCUUCAGUUUAAAGGUCUGUUUACUUUUUAAUAAUUAGUUUAUUUAGUUGUACAUUAAUACGAAGUACUGGAACAGUACGCCUAGUCACAGAAUAGGAAGGUAUAGCCAUUGAACUAAAAAUAACUGGAACGAUACCUCCAGCCGGAAAUGUGAAGCCAUGCCCAGGCAUGCCCACUGUUCCAGGUGAUCUUGAUACGUGGAAAAGUACUGGCACUAGUUGUCAAAUAGAAAUCAUUUUAUGAUUAAAACAACUGAAUAUCUCCUGUAAUAUACUUUAUUUCGAUUCCAUAUUUUUGUCAGAGCUAUGGUUCUCAUAAGCAAACAUAAUUACAAAAUUUCAACUAGUUUCAUAAAAAAUAACGAAAGAUAUCAUUGACUGAAUACAUCAAAAUGGAUUUCUAUUUGGACAACCCUUUCUGAGCGCUGAUUGGCUAAAAUACGAACACGAGAUCACCUAGUUGUCAUGCCCAGUCUUCACGUAACGGAAAUGAACGCGGGUUUUUUAAAUUUCCAAAACUGGGUUAAAAAAAUGCAUUAAAACAUGAUUUAAAACGACGUAAAAUGCACCUACCAGUACAUUUUUUACAAUAAAAACAUCCUUCAAAACUCUAGAGUAAAAUAUUUUUAAUUUGUGUAGAAUUCAUAAUUAAAUUUCCUUUUUUGAAAAAAAAACGUUGAGCGAGGAGUGGAGCUUGCCGUGGUCUAAUCAUAAGUAUUUGUGUGAAUUUCCCUAUUUUGCUCAUUCGUUUUCCAAUUUAUUCGUCUGAAAGUUAGGAAAAAAGGUAUUCUAACAAGAUCAAACUACCAACCACAGUUUAAUUAUGUUUUGUAGUAGAGUAUUUAUUAAGUUUUAAAGGUACAAAAUAACAAAUAUAAACAUUAAAGACAUUAAGAAAGUUUUUUUCGCGGACAAGUAUUUCAUGUCGCGAUUAUUCACAUUCGGCAAGAAAUACACAGAACAAGUCGUCAACGAAGGCAAACAAAGUGAUAGAUACAGAUUAAAUAAACUUAUCUUGUUUAACAAUCAAUGAAGUUGUUAUAAAUAUAUGUUUAAUACGUUAAGAUAAAGAAUUACUUAUCUUUCUCAAGUUUCAUCUGCAUAUAAACGUUCCAGUCAUUCAAAUAUGCACUUGUUGUCUCCAAUCAGUUACUUUCUUCCUUGCAAUUUUAGUCGGUAGGGUUCAAGAUAUGUUUUAAAUACACUUUUAAUACAAAAAUAUAGCUUAAAACCCUAAAUAAACGACAAUUUUCGAUCCAUUCGUCCGAGAAAAAACAUUCAGUCACUUCGCCAUAAUGGUCUCGCGAGAAUGUCUCGCAACACAAACGCGCGUGUCUGGAGGUAGAACACGCACGGCUGGAGGUAAAAUUUGGCUUCAUCCGAUCAUAAGCCAAUCCUAUUGGAGGUAGCGUUCCAGGUAUUUUUAGUUCACUGGGUAUACCAGAAGCGUAACUCAAGCAAGUAUUUGUCCGCGUUUUUACAAGCGAUUCGUCAUCAAUCACGCCAUCCUGGCUAGUACAACCGGCACUUUGUACCUACCAAAACCAGUGAACUCUCUCUCUAUAUAUAUAUAUAUCUGGAAUGAUAACAGCGAGCGAAAAGUGAAGCCGACAAAAAAAAUCACGACAUAAGUAUUCGUCAUUGUCUUCGUCAUCAACUGUUCAAGAACAAUCACUUACAUAUAAAAUUUGUAAUUGUUUUGAAAGUUUUUAUCACAGUUUUUAUAUCUUUAUUCACUUUUAACCUGAAGAUGGAGUUAUACUCCGAAACGUAGUUAUUAAAAUAAUUUUUUACUAAGCCCAUAUGGUCUAAUUUAUAUUCCAACACACGUACAUAUUCAUUUACAUUUUGCUGGCAGGCAAAUUCCGAUCACACAAUAAAUUCUUUAAAAAAUAACGUACCAGUGUAUUGACUAAAAACUAUAAAACUGGUAAACUAAAAAACAAUUCAAACAAUCGCGAAAAAUGGCAAAGUCACAGUUGCAAGUCAAUUUACCUACCUGUGAAAUGAAAUUUUCCUCGCAAGAAUAUCUCUUUCCUUGUGCAUCCAGAACGACACAAUAUAUUUGAAAAAGCCUAUUCUUUUCUCCACACGGGGAAGUUUUCCUCGACUUUUUUCCGACAGCGAACUCAAUGCAGUAAAUUUUAGGAGCAAAACAGUUUGCUCCUAAAAUGUAUUGCAUUGAAUUGGCCAUGUUUUUAAUUUUUUUUUCGUGAUUGCGUUCAAAUUUAUACUGGCCACAGAGUAGAUAAGACAUACAGAGACGUAACUGACCGUUGUAAACACUGCGGAAGAUUACGUUAUCAUGUACCCACUUUUCUUAAGGCGACCGGGCGAAAAAUGAUCAACUGCGCGUGCUCAGCAAGUUUAAAGUUAGUCGUCAUCAGGACGUCAUCCAAUCAGAUGCACGCAUCUAGUAACUUGCCGAGCAUGCGCACAAAAAAAGUGGGUACACUAGUUACGUCUCUGUAUGUCUCUACUCUGUGUACUGGCCGUGCAACGGUUUGCAAGAGGGGGAAUGAAACUGACGUCCAAUCCGCGUAAACCUGACGUUUGAGGGACUGAGACUGAGUUCACUGACCAAAACCUGAUAAAAACUUCUGGCUGUACUAGCCAGGAUGGCGUGGAUUGGCGUGAGCGAGUUAAAAUUUUCGUGGACGUAAAACAAUAAGGGAAACGACUAGAGUUACGCUUCUGCUCUAUCUUCUUUAGUCUGUGGCCUAGUUUGGUUUUGCUAUUUGUACUGACUACUGUAGUCGGAAUAUUUAAGAUAAGGUAUGGAUAAACAGACCCCAACCCCUUCCCUAACCAAUAAAUGUGUAAUGAACUAUUUGAGAGUUAGAAAGGUCGGGGAAAUUUACAAAUAUUUUAAGAAACAUUUCUACGGGGCUGUUUAUGGAAGCAUGCCUUAGCAGGGCUGGCCCGCUAAACGAGAUAGCCCGGUAAGCGGAUGAAUUUUGCUUGCGUUUAUGAGAUUUUAUCCUGCUUGCUGUGCUAGAAAUUGUUUACAUUGCACUCAAUAGGCAAUUCCAGCUUUUAGUUUAUGCCUGCAGGGGAUGAUGGGAAGUAAGGUAUCAUAGUGCUGAUUAUGCUGGAAAAUUUCAAUAAAAACAACCGAAAUAUUUCAAUAUUUACAAGUAUAAGCUAUCACUACGUGUUUACACGGCCACCAUUUUUAUUUUUUCAGCAUAAUCAGCAAUGUGAUACCUUAUUUCCCAUCGUCCCCUGCACGCAUAAACUAAAAGCUGGAAUUGCCUAUUGGCUUUCUCAAUUUCAAAAUUACUUGAUCGAAUUUCGAAGUGAAUUUCUGCAAAUUAUCCACCAAAAUCUGCCAUGUGUUUGUGUUCACAAGAAGCCGCCAAGUGUUCCACCACCACGCCGGAGCUAUUUGACAACAAUGUAGAAAAGUCACAAUAAGGCAUCGCUUUCACACUACGCUGGAGCGAAAUAGUUUGAAAACUUUCACGACGCCUUUGCCAAAUACGCUACAAGCCUGAAUUGCUAAAAGCUGUUGCAAAAAACUGUUUUAUAUUACUACUUUACAAAAUGUAUGGAUGCUAUACUUCAGUUCUUGUAUGAUAGUGCUUAUAAAUAAUUAUUAAUAUCGAACUAAUAAUCAUUAGUUCGAUAUUAAUAAUUAUUUAUAAGCACUAUCAUACAAGAAAUGUCAAGAAUGAAUUUUCCUUCAAUGGUGGUUUUUUAUCUGUCAAAAGUUUUGAUAUAGUUUUCACAAGAGAAAUGUUUCUCAACAAUUUUCAGAAAGUUUUACAAGAUUUUGGGGCUUGUUUUGAAUUGGGCUAUUCCAUUUAAAAGACGUAACCCCCCUAUCAAGGACAAUGGUUUUACCAUAUCUCUGAAGAAUUCCUGACAUAAAAGAGAUCGCCUGAAGAAUUCCUGUUACCCCUGAAGAAUUACAAUUUUUACAUCUGACCCCUAAAGGAAUUGCAUUUGAAAUAACCAACCCCUGAAGAAUUCCACAGGAGAAUUUGUUUAUACCCAUGAGGAAUUCCGGAGUUAAAAAGGGAGAUUAUGGAUAUUAAAUGGAAUAGCCAAUUUUCUGGAAAAUUUAGCCCAAUUUUCUGGAAAAUUUCCUGGUUGUUUUCCCUGCAGCUUGUUUAUAAACAUGCUUGUUUAUCUAUAGCAUCAUUUGUAGAAAAGGUGUUGAAAGCAUUUUUUGAAAGCAAUGACGUAUUAUCGAAUGACAAAUGAUCAUGCGAGCGACACUUGCUAGGAAGAUGGCGACUGUGGGACAACUAUAUAAUAGUUUUGUUUGUGGAAACACCACAUAAAUUUAUUACUGCAAAGCUUUCGAUCCGUAAGCCCGGAUCUUCAUCAGUGCUAAUAUGUGACUUGUUUAAUUCACACACCCUUUUUAUAUACAAAAAAUGUCUUGAUCUGUUGGCUCACAUAUUAUUAGCACUGAUGAAGAUCCCGGCUUACAGAUCGAAAGCUUGGCAGUAAUAAAUUUAAGUGGUGUUUCCACAAACAAAACUAUUAUAUGUUUUAUCGCCAUGCAAACUUACAAAGAACUUAUUUGGUUGACAACUUUUUUACUGAAGUUAUUGNNNNNNNNNNNNNNNNNNNNGUACGAAAAAUGCUUAACUGGGAAGCAGCCAAGUCUAACACGUAAUUGCAAUUCAAAACCAGCGUAUAUGUAUUGGGCUAGUGAACCUUCGGACUAGUGAACCUUCGGACUAGUGGGAAGUCACCGCUGAAAGCUGUUGCAAAAAACUGUUUUAUAUUACUACUUUACAAAAUGUAAUAAUUGGAUGCUAUACUUCAGUUCUUGUAUGAUAGUGCUUAUAAAUAAUUAUUAAUAUCGAACUAAUAAUCAUUAGUUCGAUAUUAAUAAUUAUUUAUAAGCACUAUCAUACAAGAAAUGUCAAGAAUGAAUUUUCCUUCAAUGGUGGUUUUUUAUCCGUCAAAAGUUUAAUAUAGUUUUGACGAGAGAAAUGUUUCACAAGAUUUUGGGGCUUGUUUUGAAUUGGGCUAUUCCAUUUAAAAGACGUAACCCCCCUAUCAAGGACAAUGGUUUUACCAUAUCUCUGAAGAAUUCUUGACAUAAAAGAGAUCCCCUGAAGAAUUCCUGUUACCCCUGAAGAAUUACAAUUUUUACAUCUGACCCCUAAAGGAAUUGCAUUUGAAAUAACCAAGCCCUGAAGAAUUCCACAGGAGAAUUUGUUUACCCAUGAGGAAUUCCGGAGUUAAAAAGGGAGAUUAUGGAUAUUAAAUGGAAUAGCCAAUUUUCUGGAAAAUUUAGCCCAAUUUUCUGGAAAAUUUCCUGGUUGUUUUCCCUGCAGCUUGUUUAUAAACAUGCUUGUUUAUCUAUAGCAUCAUUUGUAGAAAAGGUGUUGAAAGCAUUUUUUGAAAGCAAUGACGUAUUAUCAAAUGACAAAUGAUCAUGCGAGCGACACUUGCUAGGAAGAUGGCGACUGUGGGACAACUAUAUAAUAGUUUUGUUUGUGGAAACACCACAUAAAUUUAUUACUGCAAAGCUUUCGAUCCGUAAGCCCGGAUCUUCAUCAGUGCUAAUAUGUGACUUGUUUAAUUCACACACCCUUUUUAUAUACAAAAAAUGUCUUGAUCUGUUGGCUCACAUAUUAUUAGCACUGAUGAAGAUCCGGGCUUACAGAUCGAAAGCUUGGCAGUAAUAAAUUUACGUGGUGUUUCCACAAACAAAACUAUUAUAUGUUUUAUCGCCUGUGGUCCCCCUUUGCAUUUGACCCAAAUGUUUUGGUCAUUUUAUAUUUGCCAAUAUAAAUCUUUUUUGCAUAGAAAUUAUACAUUUGGAAUAAUAAUUUUGUAUGCUGCAUUCAAUCUAUUCUCCAUUCAGGGAGAUUCUUUUGUAAAUACCCACACCAAUCAGAAGUCUGUAUUUUUAUGCUAAGACAGAAAUUGGCAUCCCAGAGAGUAAAUUAUAUUCAAGUUUAGGGCAUGUUGCAGCUCUAUAUCUUGCCGUUCCAAGUUGCUUUGCGUUUGAUGUUUGUUCUGGGAUAAAAUAUUGAAUUAUACCUUAAAUUAAUGUUUUGUGAAAUUUAGUUUAAUUAAAUAAUUUAGUAGAGAGAUGAGUGCAUAAAGCAUAUAGGGAUUUUGAAGCUAAAUAUGUUAUAAAAUUUGUCAUUUUAGUGAAUGCAUUCGUUUCUGCUCGUCCUGGUUGUUGCAAGGAGACAUCGGGCAUUGUAAUGGAUGGAUGACAAUGUGUCGCUGGCAAACCUAUACCGUGUGCAUUUUCUUGGUGGAUAUCUUGGGCAAAUGUGCAAUAUGACGGAGGGAUAUCUUGGGCAAAUAUCUUAUAUAAAUUGGUACGAUUGCUUACCUUAAAUUACUAAAGAAGGAUGAUGUUGUAAGGUUAG
RNAcentral lists this long non-coding RNA (7346 nucleotides) under Paramuricea clavata. The record is from RNAcentral. Lineage: Eukaryota; Metazoa; Cnidaria; Anthozoa; Malacalcyonacea; Plexauridae.